This 73-nucleotide transfer RNA is filed under the name Anaerolineae bacterium. Its description in RNAcentral is "tRNA-Pro". It matches the Rfam family "tRNA". Rfam says of the family: Transfer RNA (tRNA) molecules are approximately 80 nucleotides in length. The record is from RNAcentral. Lineage: Bacteria; Bacillati; Chloroflexota; Anaerolineae.
CGGGGUGUAGCGCAGUUGGCAGCGCGCUGCGUUUGGGACGCAGAGGUCCUGGGUUCGAGUCCCAGCACCCCGA